GUACUCUCACACUCUCUUGUCCUUUGGAUUUGGGGAGUGGUGGACUUGGGUGUUUGCUGCUUUCCUUGUGGCUCGCCUCAAAUGUGGUAGUGCACCUCUUGGUUGGACAUAGUACGGCAUGAUAAGUGUCUUUGCCUGCACCUCGCAAGAGGGGGUGGCCAAUCAGGGCUCUGUGCUUCAAACUGUCUUCAGACAAUCUCUGACA
This 205-nucleotide unclassified non-coding RNA is filed under the name uncultured Sebacina. RNAcentral's name for it is "sequence contains ITS2". The record is from RNAcentral. Lineage: Eukaryota; Fungi; Basidiomycota; Agaricomycetes; Sebacinales; Sebacinaceae.